RNAcentral lists this ribosomal RNA (253 nucleotides) under uncultured bacterium. RNAcentral's name for it is "partial 16S ribosomal RNA". It matches the Rfam family "Bacterial small subunit ribosomal RNA", at positions 524 to 776 of the family's 1533-position model. The record is from RNAcentral.
UACGUAGGGUGCAGGCGUUAAUCGGAAUUACUGGGCGUAAAGCGUGCGCAGGCGGUUUGCUAAGACAGGUGUGAAAUCCCCGGGCUUAACCUGGGAACUGCGCUUGUUACUGGCAGGCUUGAGUGUGGCAGAGGGGGGUGGAAUUCCACGUGUAGCAGUGAAAUGCGUAGAGAUGUGGAGGAACACCGAUGGCGAAGGCAGCCCCCUGGGCUAACACUGACGCUCAUGCACGGAAGCGUGGGGAGCAAACAGG